This is a long non-coding RNA of Rosa chinensis, 2141 nucleotides long. RefSeq lists it as uncharacterized. The transcript is spliced from 5 exons. The record is from RefSeq and is a predicted model, not a curated record. NCBI's taxonomy places the organism in Eukaryota, Viridiplantae, Streptophyta, Magnoliopsida, Rosales, Rosaceae.
UAUGUAUGAAAUUUGGUUUUCUUUUGUGGCCUCUACUUUAGCUUUUCAAUCGCUCCGACAACUAAAACUUUCUGAUGCCCUCAGAGAUAAAUGUUGAACUGAAAACAAAUAAAAGAGAGACACGAAUAAAAAUUUUACUUGAAGAGGCACAUGACUGGAAGCUUCCCACUCCAUGCAAGCCAAUACCACAGGUAGCUGAGAGCCUGAAGCUGGUGAGAACAAAGAGAGAAAGCAUUUUUCGCCUGUUUGCCUUUCAUUCUUUCUGGGUUCGAAUUUAGAAUCAGCAGCCAUAAGUUGAAUGGUUCUUGCAAAUCAUGUAAGUAGGUCUUCAACUUUUAUUCAUUAGAGUUGUGACUGUGAACUGCGUUGGAAUAUAUCAGCAGUUCCUCUUCAGAAAACAUGAAAAACUCAUCUUUGACUCUCUAGCUAACUAGAGCUGAAACGUGAGGAACAGAGAAAAUGAAUACAAAGGAGAGAAAAGGCGAAAUAGAACAUUGAGGGAGGCAUAGAAAAGAAACUGAGAAGAAAGAGAUCAUUGAAGAAAUGAAGUUCAGAUUGGUAGCUUAAUUGAAUUAUUAUAAAUGGGAGUCAAAACUGAUUUUGAUCCUAAAAUUUAUUUGUUAUUGAAUCCUAGGUUUUAGCGUAGUAAGAUUAUAGAAACUUUUGAUCAAUUCUUAUAUAUGACUUAGGUUUGUCAAGUGUAAAACAACCUGAGGUUUGACUCAAGUUGGUUUUCAACAUAGAAAUGGAAAAAAAGAGGAAUACCUAAAGCUUUUGAGUAUCACAAUCUAUUCAUAAGUACAAAGGGAAGGAGUGGACUAAAGCAUUUUUUUUUCCCUUUGGAGAAAAGGAUCACAGGGGAGAGCCUGGAGUAGAUGUAUAAUGGUGCUCAUUGCUCCUUCGCAACACAGAACAUGGGGUUGAAGGUCAGUUACUUUUUUAAUUGUUUAGUUAGCAGCAAAUCUAUAAUUUAAAGUUGUAAUUUGUUGGGAGGAUGGAGUACCAUAGAGCCAUAGAGUGUUGAAGUUACAAAAGAACUUUAAUCUCUUUUGUCAUAAUUAUACAGCAAUAGUAAUCUACAGCUACCAUUUUGACAGUUCUGUGAGGAAAUACAUUUUGAUCAGGUACCAUCUCUAGCUUGCAGAGAAAUUGAAAUGUAUACAAAGCAUAGAACUAUCAUUAGGGGACUAGAUAAUUUUCUUCCUACAAGUGAGAGAAUGCAACGGAGAUAGAGGAAGAGCAAAGCGUAUGAAGUUGUCGGAUACUAAGUGGGUAGAUUGCCUCUACCUACAUGGCAAGCUUUUGUACUGAAAUCACAUCUACCAUUUUGUGAUGACAUGAUGGUUUGUAUAUAUAUUGCAUAUAGAAUGCAGCUUCUAGAACCGAGUAGACACAAUGUAACUCGUUAAUGAGAGAAAUUAACGAGUUUGGGAACUGUGCACGCCUUCAAGGAAGAAUGUGUUAGUUGGUGAAGUAAUUAACUAACCAUUAUUUUUUUUUUGGGCCUCGGAACAUUUCUAUAAAGCACACACUUGUUAUGACUUGGUGCUACAGAAUAUUCAAGGUGACAAAGUUUGGACAAUUCAGUGUUGUUCAUACAAAAGAAGUAACGGAAGAAUACAAGCAAUAAUUUCAGGUGCUGGUUGGAAAGCAUUUAGGCAGGACAAUCAUCUGGAAGAAGGUGAUGUCUGUGUGCUAGAGGUGAUAAAGGAACGUAAGUGCAGAGUUUCGAUAUUCCGAGCUAAAAAGUGAAGAUAACAUGAAUUGUUCAUAGUUCCAGAGCAUACUCUUUUGAGGUUAGAUGUGAGGAAAAGUUAAGUGUCAUCUUAAAGAAAGAUUAGUGGUAGAAGAAGCUCAGAGGAAGUAUUGCUAUCAAUGUAAAAAUGAGUGCCUUUGGUUGGAUUCGAGUACUAUUUUCAUUGGCAGAUAUUCCUAUGUCUCACGGGAUAGUUUGCCACAGUUGCUCCUCUCUUUUAUCCAAACUAUGUCGAGCAUUCUUCUGUGCAGUGAAAAGAAAGACUGAGAUCAGUACACCAAUGUUUGACAUUUAACCAUGUACACUUCUAAAAGAAAUUUUUCAUUCUUUGGGGUAAAUAGACAAGUUGUCAGAAAUCAUUUCAUCAAUACAAACAUCUCAUUUA